UGGACAUCCUCCGGCUUCCAUGGAACUUUCUAGGUUUCGUUCUUUGGAGCUUUCGCUGCUGUCGUCACUUGAUGGCAUCGGCAUGGCGUUGACGACCACUAGACUUAUGCAGCACGACACGAGCAAUAGCUGCGACAGUCCACUAAUAGACUGGCCCACUGGCCAUAAAGUAGGACGAGUCGCUCAAGGCACUUAGGUAAAUACCCUUGAAAGUAAAAACCUACCGCACAGCUUCUUAUUGAUGUCAGCACUGCUUUCAACCAUCAUGAGCGCCUCUUCCGGCUCUGCCGCCGCAUCUUCUUGCUCAGGUUAAUUCCUCCCUUGAUUGGUCUGGAGCAUCAAGUGAUGUCGAGGGGAAUUUUCUUAUCAAGGUGCUACAAGGUACGACAUCUUCUUUUACCUUCCAUUCUUCCUUUCACUUUCUGUCCACCGUCCUUGUUUGUAUUUAUAUGAACGUCAAUAUCUUCACGAGGGCGUCACCUAGUGGUGCAUUUAUCGCCUGAGUAAUCACGCUGCGUACCGCUGCCGACGCCUAUGGAGAAGAAAAACAAACGAAGUAUUGAACGUAUUUUCCUGUUUGCGGCUAGGUUACGAUUUAUAUUUUAGUCGAUUUUAGUAGAGCUGGACGGCUGGUACAGUACUACUCCAUAGCUGGAAUGGCGAGCUUUUGAAACCCCAAAUUAUUUUUAAAUUGUAAUUUGUUAGUGUUUUUUUCGCAGGUUGACGUUAUAUCCACUGUUUUUAAUUCUUUUAUUGUUGUAAAGUUAAGUGGAUUCAGUAUUUAUAAGGCAGGCGUUGUGGAUCGUGACUUUGGCAUUUUGCUUUAUCAUUAGCACCAUGCGCAUCACAAAUUCUUGUCCAUUCGCCUCCUGAACUUCUUGACGUCGAUGAGCUGGAUGAGCUGGAUGAGAACCUUUGGGCGAGGGAAUUCACAAUUUUUUUCUACAAACAAAAAGUUGUUACAGCUCAGCACUCAGGGUCGGUAAUAAUAUGGAAAGGAUUUGAUCCGUCGGGAUUAAAUCUUGAGAAAGGAAACUUUUACACAAACCUUUACCGUUGUCGAGAAACGUACUGCAGGAAAUAUGUGCUGUCAGAGCAAUCUUACGACGUAGACUGAUGGUGGUAAAAAAGCGCUAAUCAUUGCGGUGAUGCAAUCUGCCGACCGAAGGCGGGGGUGCUAUAAUGACUUUGAGUUUUGCCUUUUAUUUACGCAAGGCUUUUGGCUGUGCAGCUCAGUUGACAAGUUUAAGCUCAAAAGUGACGUCCGGGCGCCAUUCAUUAACAGGAGGAAACGUCUAGGAGUAGUGCAGCCUACUGUCAACUAUUUUGUUCAAAAUCAUUGUAUAUUUUACUGAAUGUGCCAUUGAAAUGAUACAGGAUUCAUCAUAAUUGUCCGCUGUUUGUAUUGGACUUGCAAGAUUACCUACCCCAGCAUGGAUCAAUCGCUCAUUCCAUCUUCUAGAGAACCUUGGAUAACUGAUUGAUGGUUUCAUGUGUUCUAAACUGCUGGUUUCUAAAUUUGCAUGGCAGAUUUUAUGAAAAGUCCUGUCAUUUCAAGAAAAGUCAACAAGGUCUGUUGUUUGCUGACCUGUUGGCUGCUACCUUGAAUCCUCCUUGUUGACUUCUUUACACAGGCCCUCCUGAUUUGAGGGUAAUCCUUCGCUACUGAUCAUGGACUUCAUCCAUUGGUGACAACCGACGAGAGAAUACUGUAAUUGAAGACAGAUCAAUUGUUUAGUUAGAUCAAAUUACAAGUGCAUAUCUGGGCUCCCUUCUUUUCUGUGGCCCCGUUUCCCUAACUAACCACUAACCAACGCCCGCCGGUGGUCACUCACCCGCUGUGAACCCAGGAGGAGGGGAGGGCUCUGGUCG
Long non-coding RNA from Daphnia pulex (common water flea), 1872 nucleotides. RefSeq lists it as uncharacterized. NCBI's taxonomy places the organism in Eukaryota, Metazoa, Arthropoda, Branchiopoda, Diplostraca, Daphniidae. The record is from RefSeq and is a predicted model, not a curated record. The transcript is spliced from 8 exons.